This 465-nucleotide ribosomal RNA is filed under the name Vreelandella stevensii. RNAcentral describes it as "partial 16S ribosomal RNA". It matches the Rfam family "Bacterial small subunit ribosomal RNA", at positions 338 to 795 of the family's 1533-position model. The record is from RNAcentral. Lineage: Bacteria; Pseudomonadati; Pseudomonadota; Gammaproteobacteria; Oceanospirillales; Halomonadaceae.
CCUACGAGUCGCUGCAGUGGGGAAUAUUGGACAAUGGGCGAAAGCCUGAUCCAGCCAUGCCGCGUGUGUGAAGAAGGCCUUCGGGUUGUAAAGCACUUUCAGUGGGGAAGAAAGCCUUGGGGCUAAUACCCUCGAGGAAGGACAUCACCCACAGAAGAAGCACCGGCUAACUCCGUGCCAGCAGCCGCGGUAAUACGGAGGGUGCGAGCGUUAAUCGGAAUUACUGGGCGUAAAGCGCGCGUAGGCGGUCUGAUAAGCCGGUUGUGAAAGCCCCGGGCUCAACCUGGGAACGGCAUCCGGAACUGUCAGGCUAGAGUGCAGGAGAGGAAGGUAGAAUUCCCGGUGUAGCGGUGAAAUGCGUAGAGAUCGGGAGGAAUACCAGUGGCGAAGGCGGCCUUCUGGACUGACACUGACGCUGAGGUGCGAAAGCGUGGGUAGCAAACAGGAUUAGAUACCCGAGUAGUC